Long non-coding RNA from Anolis carolinensis (green anole), 6026 nucleotides. NCBI's taxonomy places the organism in Eukaryota, Metazoa, Chordata, Lepidosauria, Squamata, Anolidae. The record is from Ensembl.
CAUGGUAAUGCACUCAGCAUGAUAUAUAUAUAACAUUUAUUUUCAGGGGAUGGAGAGCUGUUCCAAACGAAGAGAGCUCAUGGAAAGUUCGGGCUAAAGCCUUGGCGUUGAUUGGUUCCUCCUGGUCAGGGUAACUCCCCUAUCUUCUCUCUGGAUAAGCUCAAUCCCUUCCGAAGUGGCCUGUUUCCAGCUCCACUCACCUUCUGCUUGGAGGCAGGGCAGCACAGCCAAGGCAAGCCCUGCCAGCAAAAGUCGCAUCCGCAUCCGCGCCGCCAAGAAAUCCAUAGUUUUGGAAAAGAAGAGCCCAAAGGAGAGGAGCCUCUUCUCGCCGGGUCCUGCAGCAGGGUCUUCCUUGGCUCCAAAGAAGAAAGGAGGGAGAAAGGAGGAGGAUUCAGGGAGGAAAAGGAAGGAAGGAAGGAAGGAAGGAAGGAAGGAAGGAAGGAAGGAAGGAAGGAAGGAAGGAGGGAGAAGCCCAAGUCGGGGGAACCAGGCUCCCUUUCUCUCCCGGUCUCUGAGUCUUUACAAUCCGGGCGAGUCGCAGGGCAGGAAUCCGCCGUGAAUCAUGGUCACCUUUGCGCCAAAGGACAGAAGAGAAGGAGGAGGAGGAGGAAGAGGGGCAGGGUCCACGCUCCUCUCUCCCGCAAAGUUCCCCUUGGCCAACUUCCCUCCUCCCCAAAAUGAAGAGAGGGAAGAGGAGCCGGUGGGCUCUUGGCAAAGCCCUCCGACCCGCUCGCCGGCUUGGGGGAGACACUUUGAGCAGCCCUGAAGCACCCACCCACUCGGUUCAUGCGUGAAAAAGGAGGAGGAGGAGGAGGCAGCCGGGGCCACCCACCAAGGCGCCCUCCAAGGAGGAGGAGGAGGGAGAGGAGGAGGAAGCAGCCCAGCUUCGGAGAGGAGACGCAGCUCCAGGCAAGGUCGGGUCAAAAUUGGCCGUGGAGAGAAAAGGGAGGACGGUCUUGCAGCAGAAGCAACCGGCAUCAUCUGUUCAUGUGGAGCAUGCACCAGCCUCUACACAACACACACCACACACAUAGCCCUCACCAUUGGAGAGUUGCAGCUGCUACUAUUGUUAAAGUUAAAUUCUGCAGGAUUUCUUUCCUUUCUUUCCUGCAGCUGAACUGAUACAUGCAAAGCCAACCCCCCUUUGAAAGCUUCCCCAUGUUUGCAAACACUUUUUAAUCAUUAUUGUGCCUCCCAAUCAUUUAUGACUUAUAGCAAACCUAUUGAACAAAUUAUUGGCAGGAUUUGUUCAGAAGGGCUUUGACAUUGGGUUGUUAUAUGUUUUCCGGGCUAUCUGGCCAUGUUCUAAAAUUUACAGUAUUUAUCUACAGUAUUUAUAUUCCGCCCUUCUCACCCCGAAGGGGACUCGGGGCGGAUUACAAUGAACACAUAUAUGGCAAACAUUCAAUGCCAACAGACAAACAACAUAUAUAGACAGACACAGAGGCAUUUAACAUUUUUUUCCAGCUUCACGAAUCCGGCCACAAGUGGAGCUGUUGCUUCACCGUCCACUAGUGGCUGUACUUCCUCAUUCCUUUCCUUGUGUUUUGCUGGCAGUUUUAUGAUGUUGUAAAUUAGUUAAAUUAGCCUCCCCGCAUAAAGCGUACCUAAAUUUCCCUACUUGACAGAUGCAACUGUCUUUCGGGGCUGCAUAGGUCAACAGCAACCCGGGCUAUUUAAUGGUCGGGGGCUUAACCCGACCCGGGUUUCGAACUCAUGACCUCUCAGUAAGUAGUGAUUUAUUGCAGCUGGUUACUAGCCAGCUGCGCCACAGCCCAGCCCAAAAGUAUUCUCUCCUGACGUUUCGCCCACAUCUAUGGCAGGCAUCCUCAGAGGUUGUGAAGUUAGGGUUUGACAUUGCCUUCCUCUAAGGCUGAGAGAAUGUGACUUGCCCAAGGCUACCCACUGGGUUUCUGUGUCUGACUACAGAUAUGAACCCUGGUCUCCAGGCAUAGGGUGUAUCCCGGUAGCACAGUGGAUUAAACCCUUGUGCCAGCAGGACUGAUGAUUUGAAGGUUGAGUUGCUGACCUCAAGGUUGUUGGUUCGAAUCCAACCGAGGGAGAGCGAGGAUGAGUUCCCAUCUUUCAGCUCCAGCUCCAUGCAGGGACAUAGGAAAAGCCUCCCACAAGUAUGGUAAAAACAUCAAAACAUUCGGACAUUCCCUGGGCAACAUCCUUGCAGAGGGCAAAUUCUCUCACAACAGAAGUGACUUGCAGUUUCUCAAAUCACUCCCGACAUGAAAAAAUAGGGUGCAUUUACACUGCAGAAUUACUGUAAUGCAAUUUGACAACAUUUUAACUGCUGUGGCUCUAUGCUAUGGAAAUGUUGAGUUGCAGUUUUACAAGAUCGUGAGCCUUCUUUGCUGAAGAGUGCUGGUGCCUCACCAAACUUCAACUCUCAAGCUCCAUACUUCACCAAACUACAACUCUCAGGGUCCAUAGCAUUGAGCCAUGACAGUUUGGGUGGUGCCAAACUGUAUUAAUUCUACACUGUAGAUGCACCCAUUUUGCAUCCAUUGCAAGGAAAGGCACUGCCUCACUUGCCAGCCUUGGCUAAAGGCUACUACUAGCCCACAUAGUCUCUAGAUGUAAAUAUUUCCCAUCAUGAUUGUCUUGAGUGUAAUGUGCAACUCCCAACGCAUACACUGCUGAGCUUGCACCUGCAAUAUUUGCCUCUCCAUCUGCUCAAUUCCAUUGUAUUUAUUUAUUUUUUCCACUACCCAUCAUUUCUUUUCCUCCAGUGAAACUGACAAGGUCAAGGAGAAAACUUUUCUCCCCUAAUUUAUUUCUGGCGGAACUGAUAAGAAUAAACUGAUACUGCCAUUCUUCAGAGCACUUUCCUUUUUGCUGCCAAUAGCUGUCAUGUAUGCAUAGUCAUAGUUGGCAUAACACUAUAGCUACAAACCUAACAAUGCAUCCACGAAAAUGGGAAAAUAGCUUUCCUAUAGAGCUUUGCGUAUGCAGUUUAUACAGGCACUCUGCAGUGGCAAGGGAUCAUGGAGGUCUUUUAGUCCAAGACCCCAUGCUCAGUGUGCCAUUUACACAUCCCUAAUGGAUGCUGUUUACAUGAAUGCAAAGCCUACAAUUUCUCAAGGAUGGCUUCUUCUAAAAUGAUAUCUAGAGUAUAUGAAGGACUUUAGAUGACUUAGUAUGCAUCUACACCAGUCAUGGGCAAACUUCAGCCCUCCAGGUGCUUUGGACUUCAAUUCCCAGAAUUCCUAACAGCCAGUAGGAUGUUAGGUAUGGUGGAAGUUGAAGUCUAAAAUACCUGGAGGACCAAAGUUUGCCCGUGCCUGAUCUACACUGUAGAGUUAAUGUGGUUCAACACCACUUUUAAGUGUCAGGGCUCAAUGUUACAGAAUCCUGGUAGGUGUAGUUUUACAACGUCUUUAGCUUUCCCUGCUGAAGAGUGCUUUUGUCUCACCAAACUAUAACUCUCAGUAUUCCAUAGCAUUGAGCCAUAGUAGUUAAAGUGGUAUCAAACUGCAUUCAUUUCUACAGUAUAGAGGGAUCUUUAGAAUUACUGUAUAAGCCUAGUUUUUCAGCCCUUUUUUAAGACUGAAAAAGCCCCCCCUCGGCUUAUACUCGGGUGAGGGUCCUGUUUGGCUUAUAUUUGGGUCAGCUUAUACUCGAGAAUAUAUGGUACAUUUAUUAUUUUUCUCUAUUAUUAUUGGUAUUAUUACAUUUAUUAUUUUUCUCUAUUAUUGUUGCUACUAUUACAUUUAUUUACUCUAUUUCAUUAUUAUUAUUAUUAUUAAUACAUUUAUUAUUUCACUCUGAUCUUAUUAUUAUUAUUGCAUUUAUUAUUUUACUCUAUUUAUUAUUACUUGUAUUAUUAUUAUUAUUACAUGUAUUAUUUUACUCUAUUAUUAUUAAAAGGAUACAUAAGCACAUUUACAUUGAAGAAGAUGAGAAUAAUGAUUUGAUCAGAGUUGGACAGUCUUAUCUUAAAUUUGAGCUUUAUGUAAAUAUUCAAAAACAUUUAACCUACUGAUGCCUCAAUUAAUGUAAUUUUAUUGGUAUCUAUUUUUAUUUCUGAAAUGUACCACUCUCGGCUUAUACUGGAGUCAAUGUUUUCCCAGUUUUUUUGUGGUAAAAUUAGGUGCCUCGGCUUAUAUUCGGGUUGGCUUAUACUCGAGUAUAUGUGGUAUUUCAUGUGCAGGUGUUUCUCAGGACCCAUCUACACUGCCAUAUAAUGCAUUAUAUGAUCAGUGUAUUAUAAUUAAUUGAAACUGCAUCAUAUAGUCAGUGUCGACUCAUAUAAUGCGGUUUAAUGAUCUUGAACAAGUCACAUAGCCUCAGAGGAAGCAGUAGCAAACCCCUUUGGAAAUAGCCAAGAAUAAAUUCCCCUUGGGAUCAUCAUAAGCCAGAACCAAUUUGAAGACACACAACAACCUCCAAGGCUUGCAUCCACCUCCACAACUUUCCUAGUUUUGGAUGGAGCUGUGUCUAGACCUCUCUUGCAAUCUUUCAAGUCUGUGAAGAAGAAAAUGAUGGCAACACCUUAGGUAAAUGUCAUCCAAACAGUCAGCUGCUGUGAGUUUGUACGUGGGGUCUUAUUGACUGGGUUUGGGGCCCCUACUAGGUGCUAUGGUAACAGAAGUAAUCAUUAACCAGCCCUUCGUUCUUUUAACAUUCAAGUCACCCAGAACUGCCUGCCUGCUUUGAUCUGUUCUUCCGUGAUUCUUAAAAAUACUUUUCAUCUCAAGGAACGGAAUAUGCCUUGGCAAACCCGACUGUAAGCUGCUUUGCUUUAAAAAAAACCCAACAAAACCUGUUAUCAAGAGUAAUAAACAAAUCAAUUAUUGUUUCCCUUACUGCUGCUGUUGGGAUUUAAUAAAAUGCUGUUUCUCUUCUACCAAGGCAUAUUUUUUUAAUCUUUUGAUAUAUUAAGAAUAUGGUCAUUAGCUCUCCGGGGAAAGCCAAGAAGUGAGUUUUCAUUUCUUUUAAAAAUGCAUCUGAGCAUUAAUGCCAGGGAAACAGAAGCGCACUGCCAUGGCGUAAUAGUCUCCCUGGUGGGGCAUAGAUGCUGCUUAAUGGAAAAUAAAUGCCAGGGCAAAUCCAGGGCAUCUAUUGUCAAGGCAGGAGGUGCUGAACCUCUGCCAGCCUCAGAUUCCUAAGACUUCAUUUCAUCUAUGACAAAUGAAUGGCUGGCAAAGUUAUUUCUAAUUUUCUUCUGGAUUCUAUUUUUUUGGCAUACAAAAUGGUCACUGAAUUUCUCAAGAAGUUAAGGGACUUUCACUUUCACCUGACAUCCAUUGGGAAGUAGCAGCCAGUAAUGAAAGGAUCAAAGAGUAGACAUCUCCGGCCCAUCCUCUGUUUGGAUAUCAGCCAGCAAGACAGUUCCUUAAAUCAAGAAACAGCUUCCUAAGAUCUACAGAGAUACUAACAGGAACAUCUCAGCAAGCAAGAGUCCAAAAGUGGCAGGUUAAAACCUGGAACUUCAAUCAGUGGCUGAGAUUGGAUGAGACUCCCCACACACAAGACUGGGCAACUUGAAAGGCGCUGAACAGACUGUGCUCUGGCACCACAAGAUGCAGAGCCAAUCUUAAGAAAUGGGGCUACAAAGUGGAGUCCACAACAUGCGAGUGUGGAGAAGAGCAAACCACAGGCGACUUACUACAAUGCAGUCUGGGCCUCACCACAUGCACAAUGGAGGACUUUCUCACAGUGACACCAGAGGCAUUCCAAGAGGCCAGCUUCUGGUCAAAGGAAAUCUAAAAUAAAGCCAAGUUUUUAAACUUUGUGGUUUUUCUAUACAUUAUAACUGUACCUUCAAUUCACUUCAGACACAAUAGAUAAAUAAAUAAGGGACUUUCAGUACAUCCUAUAAAUAUACAGAGAAAUGCUACUAGGGAAAGGACAUAAAAAGAGGUGUGGGUGUGACAGAAGCUGGUUAAUUACCUAAUGUGAUCAGUAGAGCAAUGCAACUAUAGUACACUUCCAAGUUCAUCAUUGCAGAAAACUCCCAUUCAAGCCUUGGCAGUGGUCUUCUACCUCAUUAUCAGUGGUAAGGAUUACUUCCA